RNAcentral lists this transfer RNA (83 nucleotides) under Alkalispirillum mobile. RNAcentral's name for it is "tRNA-Leu". It matches the Rfam family "tRNA". Rfam says of the family: Transfer RNA (tRNA) molecules are approximately 80 nucleotides in length. Their secondary structure includes four short double-helical elements and three loops (D, anti-codon, and T loops). The record is from RNAcentral. Lineage: Bacteria; Pseudomonadati; Pseudomonadota; Gammaproteobacteria; Chromatiales; Ectothiorhodospiraceae.
GCCCGGAUGGCGGAAUUGGUAGACGCAGGGGACUUAAAAUCCCCCGGCUUUUAGCCGUGCCGGUUCAAGUCCGGCUCCGGGCA